Long non-coding RNA from Chrysemys picta bellii (western painted turtle), 921 nucleotides. RefSeq lists it as uncharacterized. Lineage: Eukaryota; Metazoa; Chordata; Testudines; Emydidae. The record is from RefSeq and is a predicted model, not a curated record.
GAUUCCUACACAUGACCAGUCUUCAGUAGUGAACAAAAAUGGCAUCUAAAUCCCAAGUGACACUCUUAAGCACUUGGCAGCAGAAGGGCUCUUCUGAGGAAGAUUAAGUUAAUGGAAGCAUUUGGGUAACAUCUGCAUGACUCUUCAUCCUGGUAAGGCCAACUCACACUGCAACAACACGUGAUGGAGGAUUUCUCUGAUUAUCACUUAAGAACAAAACUGGCUGAAGUUUCUUUUCAAGUACUGACCAGGAUGUCAGAGUACCUUUUGUCACAGAGGAUCCAAAAGGGGGAGUAUUAUAUAGGAAUCACUUCCUUCUCCAAAUGUGGGUAGUAUCAGUGACGGAACACAGCAGCUGUUUAACAGUGAUAAUACAUAGCACGUGAGGAUGGGAAAUGAGGAACACCAUAUUCAGUGGACAAUACUAGGGUCUUUAGGUCUAAGAUUGCACCUCCAACGUGGGUUUGAGUUAUGAUGCAUGUGUACCUGUGCAUACAUCCACUAUACUGCUGCUCUUCCCCCCCAGUCUGGUGAGCCCUCUGGAAAUUUACAAGAAUCAUGUAUCCUUGGAAGGACUCUUGCAUAUUCUAAACCUUUCCACUGGCUCAUAUGAUUUGAACUUGCAGAGUGGAGGAAUGACGUUACAUGCAUAUGCAUGUUUAUAUGCAAAUUCCCAGCACAUCCAUGAACUAAAAACAAGCUCAGUACUCAUAGUUUGUUAGUGCAUCACCUAGUUCAACACAUUGUGCUGCUGAUAGAAAAAAACUGCAGUGAAUGUGAUCUAAAAUAGGGUAUAAUCAUACUUACCUAUUUCAUAGCACGAUUGUAGCCUAAUUACACUGGUCUACAGUUUUUGAGAAGUUGUCUGCUUCAGAGAUAAAAUGUGCUAUUUAUUAUGUAUUUUGAUGUGCUGAAUUCAAA